Long non-coding RNA from Chelonia mydas (Green sea turtle), 1925 nucleotides. RefSeq lists it as uncharacterized. The record is from RefSeq and is a predicted model, not a curated record. The transcript has 3 exons. Lineage: Eukaryota; Metazoa; Chordata; Testudines; Cheloniidae.
UGAUGAAAAUACAGCGUGGGAUUUUCACAUACUUUACUCCUGGGGGAAUUCUGCACCACUGCACAUGAGCAGCAAUGCAUCCCCCGCAUCCCUCCCCCACAGAUUCACUUUGCUUCCUGCAGAAAAAUGGUUUCUGUGGGGAAGCAAAGAGAAGCUGCAUCAGUGCUCUCUCACCCCGCCUCAGCAGUAUGGGUGCAUCUGUUCUGACAGCUGGGGAAGAGGGUGGGGAAAAUCCAAUGGAAAGUGGAACAAGGAACUGGGGUGGGUGAAAACCCAGCUUCUGAAGACCAGGAAAGAGUGAGGCAGAACCUGUUGGGGUGCUGACAGAAACUCAACUCCCAAAGGUUGGGAUGUCUGAAAUAAGCUAAGUCUACAGGUUUGUACAACAGAUUGUGGAUGCUACCAGAAAAAGCUACAUGAAUAAUACAGUGCGGACAAAGUCCACAGGCUAUGCAUACAGACACUGGAAGCUUUGGAUCAGUUAUGAGAAGGUAAAAGUACAAGAAAAAUUUGGUCCAGCAGAUUGAAGAGGAGGGCAGAGCACCAGAAACUCCCAAAAUCUGUUUCCAGUAUGUUGGUUUAACAUUUUGCUUUCUACAGUAUUGUAGGCUACUGGCCUGUCUCCCCAGCUCAAGAACAAAUUGACACCACACCCCAGCCCUUUGCCUCAGGGCUUCUGAUUUCUUUCUUUCAAACACCAUAAAUUCAGCACUUCAAUUGUCCCUUCCCCAGUAACCUGAGGUCUUUUGCAGUUGCACCUAUUCUAUACAUGACAGGUUUCAGAGUAGCAGCCGUGUUAGUCUGUAUUCGCAAAAAGAAAAGGAGUACUUGUGGCACCUUGGAGACUAAAAUUUAUUUGAACAUAAGCUUUCGUGAGCUGUACCUCACGAAAGCUUAUGCUCAAAUAAAUUUGUUAGUCUCUAAGGUGCCACAAGUACUCCUUUUAUUCCAUACAGAUUCCCUGCUCUGUUGCCUGCCAUAGGAUCCAACCUGCUUCCUGUAGCUUUCCUCCCUCAACUAAGACCUUUCAGCCUUUAUUAGGAACCAAGUGCUUGUGAGGCAAACUACAAGGCCCCAACUUGUUCUUAACAGGGCUCUGCCUCAGAACAGGGUUGACUGGCCCCAGGUCCCAUGGCGUAAAAAGGGGCAGACUACCCUGUUUCGCCCUUUUACUCAAGGAUCUCAGAAUGCCUUAACUAUGCCUUACAAGUCAUCUGUCUGGUAGAAAAGCAUUAUCCACAUUUUAAAGAUGGAAAAACUAAGAAUCAGAGAGGUUAAGUAACCUUCUCAAAGCCUCAGAAGUCUGGUCACAAUCAGAAUUAGCAGCCAGCUCUACUUUCUCCUUGUUCGGUACCUACUCUGCUAGAUUGCAUUGCCUCCCAUGCAAGGAACGACCUUUCAACACCCAAAUUCCUAUCUGCAAAAGGAGGAAGCUUACCUACCUCAUUAGAAGAGUUGGAAAGCAAGUGUUAAGAACUUUGAUAAGAGCAUCAUGUGAGUGCUUAGUGUUACUAUUUUUGAAAAAAAUCCAGAAAAACAGGGAAUUCAACAUUCAUAUAAUAAUUUUUUUAAAAAAACAGAAAAAUACUGGAAAGUAUGGAAAGUAAUACCCCCCAAGAACCUUACCUCUGGUUCUUGCAUACUUGUGUACCCCCUCCUUGUAAAUUAGAUAUCUAUCAAGUAUCUCAGCUGUCUUAGAUGUUAAAAACCUACAGACACUUUGGAGUUAAGAAAGUGUUAAAGACCUCUAUGUUAUGGCAAUUCACUAGUUGAGUCUUCAGCCCAUUCCACUACUUUACACAGGUGAUAAAUACAGAGUUUAGGGCAGGGGUGGGCAAACUUUUUGGCCCGAGGGCCACAUCGGGGUGCAAAACUGUAUGGAGGAUCAGGUAGGGAAGGCUGUGCCCCCCAAACAGCCUGGCCCC